GGGGAUGAAAGGUCUCGACAGGGAAGGGUCAGGCAUGGACUGCAAGCCGAGACGCCUGAUCUCGUUAAAUCGGGCAAAACCAAUAAGUGCCGAGAAAGUACCUGCUUUCAACGCACCUGCCUACUACGCGCUUCCGCUCGCUGCGUAAGCCGGCGUAGGCCGAUGCAAAUGGUCACUCAGAGUGAGUGACCACGUCCGACACCUCUCCAUCCGGGCGGAGGUGUUUGGGCGUCACGGAGUCCGGAUUGCGGCGCACAGAUGCCGAUAAGUGCGUCAAAGGAGACGAGAGUCUCACCAUCGGCUGGCCUGUCGUCGACUCGGUCGGCGGACGAGACGACAGGCGAGAAACGUGGCGCCGACUAAGCUUGUAGAUGUUCAUGUCGAGCUUCUCUGGACCCGGGUUCGAUUCCCGGCAUCUCCACCU
This 424-nucleotide transfer-messenger RNA is filed under the name Anaerolineae. RNAcentral's name for it is "g NAK82 X1 Standard tmRNA". It matches the Rfam family "transfer-messenger RNA". Rfam says of the family: Bacterial tmRNA, also known as 10Sa RNA or SsrA, is named for its dual tRNA and mRNA-like properties. The record is from RNAcentral. RNAcentral also lists the same sequence under 1 other name. Lineage: Bacteria; Bacillati; Chloroflexota.